RNAcentral lists this transfer RNA (363 nucleotides) under uncultured Microcystis sp. RNAcentral's name for it is "partial 16S-23S ribosomal RNA intergenic spacer". The stretch from base 135 to 208 matches the Rfam family "tRNA". The record is from RNAcentral. Lineage: Bacteria; Bacillati; Cyanobacteriota; Cyanophyceae; Chroococcales; Microcystaceae.
AAGGGAGACCUAAUUCAGGUAGGAGACGAAAAAAAAGUAGUCGCUACCAAGAAUCAAUCCCAAAAGGUCGGAGCGAGGCGAAAUUGGCUUUCAAACUAGGUUCUGGGUUCACACAAGACCUGAAUCAGGAACAAGGGCUAUUAGCUCAGAUGGUUAGAGCGCACCCCUGAUAAGGGUGAGGUCCCUGGUUCGAGUCCAGGAUGGCCCACCUGUACAGGUGGCAAAAAGAAAGAAAAGAAGCGAGGAAUCAGCACCUUAUCUUACUGACAUAGUAAGAGAGAAUGCUGGCUCUGAGUAAAGAGUCCAGAGGAACCUUGAAAACUGCAUAGAGCUAGGUGAAAAAGCCAAAAAAGAAGACCGCAA